This 490-nucleotide ribosomal RNA is filed under the name uncultured bacterium. RNAcentral describes it as "partial 16S ribosomal RNA". It matches the Rfam family "Bacterial small subunit ribosomal RNA", at positions 30 to 507 of the family's 1533-position model. The record is from RNAcentral.
AUUGAACGCUGGCGGCAGGCCUAACACAUGCAAGUCGAACGGAAACAGGAAGAAGCUUGCUUCUUUGCUGACGAGUGGCGGACGGGUGAGUAAUGUCUGGGAAACUGCCUGAUGGAGGGGGAUAACUACUGGAAACGGUAGCUAAUACCGCAUAACGUUGCAAGACCAAAGAGGGGGACCUUCGGGCCUCUUGCCAUCGGAUGUGCCCGGAUGGGAUUAGCUAGUAGGUGGGGUAACGGCUCACCUAGGCGACGAUCCGUAGCUGGUCUGAGAGGAUGACCGGCCACACUGGAACUGAGACACGGUCCAGACUCCUACGGGAGGCAGCAGUGGGGAAUCUUGCACAAUGGGCGCAAGCCUGAUGCAGCCAUGCCGCGUGUAUGAAGAAGGCCUUCGGGUUGUAAAGUACUUUCAGCGGGGAGGAAGGGAGUAAAGUUAAUACCUUUGCUCAUUGACGUUACCCGCAGAAGAAGCACCGGCUAACUCCGUG